GACUCUCGACAACGGAUAUCUCGGCUCUCGCAUCGAUGAAGAACGUAGUGAAAUGCGAUACUUGGUGUGAAUUGCAGAAUCCCGUGAACCAUCGAGUCUUUGAACGCAAGUUGCGCCCGAAGCCGUCAGGCCGAAGGCACGUCUGCCUGGGCGUCU
RNAcentral lists this ribosomal RNA (156 nucleotides) under Cornus officinalis. RNAcentral's name for it is "5.8S ribosomal RNA". It matches the Rfam family "5.8S ribosomal RNA". From Rfam's summary of the family: 5.8S ribosomal RNA (5.8S rRNA) is a component of the large subunit of the eukaryotic ribosome. Lineage: Eukaryota; Viridiplantae; Streptophyta; Magnoliopsida; Cornales; Cornaceae. The record is from RNAcentral.